AUUGAACGCUGGCGGCAGGCCUAACACAUGCAAGUCGAACGGUAACAGGAAGAAGCUUGCUUCUUUGCUGACGAGUGGCGGACGGGUGAGUAAUGUCUGGGAAACUGCCUGAUGGAGGGGGAUAACUACUGGAAACGGUAGCUAGUACCGCAUAACGUCGCAAGACCAAAGAGGGGGACCUUCGGGCCUCUUGCCAUCGGAUGUGCCCAGAUGGGAUUAGCUAGUAGGUGGGGUAACGGCUCACCUAGGCGACGAUCCCUAGCUGGUCUGAGAGGAUGACCAGCCACACUGGAACUGAGACACGGUCCAGACUCCUACGGGAGGCAGCAGUGGGGAAUAUUGCACAAUGGGCGCAAGCCUGAUGCAGCCAUGCCGCGUGUAUGAAGAAGGCCUUCGGGUUGUAAAGUACUUUCAGCGGGGAGGAAGGGAGUAAAGUUAAUACCUUUGCUCAUUGACGUUACCCGCAGAAGAAGCACCGGCUAACUCCGCG
This 490-nucleotide ribosomal RNA is filed under the name uncultured bacterium. RNAcentral describes it as "partial 16S ribosomal RNA". It matches the Rfam family "Bacterial small subunit ribosomal RNA", at positions 30 to 507 of the family's 1533-position model. The record is from RNAcentral.